UACGUAGGGUGCAAGCGUUGUCCGGAAUCAUUGGGCGUAAAGAGCUCGUAGGCGGCUUGUCACGUCGGCUGUGAAAACCCGGGGCUCAACCCCGGGCCUGCAGUCGAUACGGGCAAGCUAGAGUGUUGCAGGGGAGACUGGAAUUCCUGGUGUAGCGGUGAGAUGCGCAGAUAUCAGGAGGAACACCGGUGGCGAAGGCGGGUCGCUGGGCAACAACUGACGCUGAGGAGCGAAAGCGUGGGGAGCGAACAGG
RNAcentral lists this ribosomal RNA (253 nucleotides) under uncultured bacterium. RNAcentral describes it as "partial 16S ribosomal RNA". It matches the Rfam family "Bacterial small subunit ribosomal RNA", at positions 524 to 776 of the family's 1533-position model. The record is from RNAcentral.